RNAcentral lists this ribosomal RNA (366 nucleotides) under uncultured bacterium. RNAcentral's name for it is "bacterial SSU rRNA". It matches the Rfam family "Bacterial small subunit ribosomal RNA", at positions 9 to 372 of the family's 1533-position model. The record is from RNAcentral.
GAGUUUGAUCAUGGCUCAGAUUGAACGCUGGCGGUAUGCAUAACACAUGCAAGUCGAACGGUAGCAGGCUCGGGAAACCGAGUGCUGACGAGUGGCGGACGGGUGAGUAAUGCGUAGGGAUUUGCCUAGUAGAGGGGGAUAACCUGGGGAAACUCAGGCUAAUACCGCAUAUGCCUAAGGGUGAAAGAGGGGGACCGUAAAAGGCCUCUUGCUACUGGAUGAACCUGCGUAGGAUUAGCUAGUUGGUAGGGUAAAGGCCUACCAAGGCGAAGAUCCUUAACUGGUCUGAGAGGACGACCAGUCACACUGGGACUGAGACACGGGCCAGACUCCUACGGGAGGCAGCAGUGGGGAAUAUUGGACAAU